UAAGACUUAUAGGACCACCUAUAUCAUCUGAAUGCAACUCAGACAUUUUCAUUAAACUAAAGCCUA
RNAcentral lists this transfer RNA (66 nucleotides) under Pseudotrapelus sinaitus (Sinai agama). RNAcentral describes it as "tRNA-Ala". The record is from RNAcentral. Lineage: Eukaryota; Metazoa; Chordata; Lepidosauria; Squamata; Agamidae.